CUCAUGCGAGCAUCCAGGGAAGAGCUCCCAGCCCCUGCCUGGGGCAGCUUCUGAGAGCUUUAAGCCCUCCUUAAAGCUCUGCCUAGAGCAUCUCGAAGCUGAGGAUGGAACCACCGUGGUGCCGCUGGUGCUUGGCUGUUCUCUCCCACAAAGCAGCAGCUCACAGUGAUGCCCAUUUCAGGGUCAAGAGAGCACCUGAUGGGUACCUCUGCAUUCAAAAGAGCAGUUUGGAAGCAAGGAAUUCCUGGAGUGUACUGUACAUUUGGCUUCUUGGGUGAGUGAGCAAUGGCCUGGCAGUGCCCAACUGAAGUUGUUUAAGAAGAAUUAUUAUUAAACCAGUUUCACUGGUAGCUAUUGUUUUGUGCUUCUCCCUUAGCUAAAAAUCCCAAUGUCUUUGACUACAGCACUGGCUGAGACAGAAAAUGUGGCUCAUGGAACCCUGACCCCAUGGAACUUGGCAGAAAUCCUGUGGUGAGUCUAAGCUCCUCUCUGUGGUAGUGCAUAUUAAUUUCCAAAUAUGUAAAAAGCAGUGAUAUUGCUGAUUUCUCUCCAUACCUUCAUUUUCAGCUGCAAUUAUUCUCCAACCCUGAGCAUUUCAGCCCAAAGGGACUGACUGUAAUGAAGGCCUGUAAUGAAGGACUGUAAUUCAUAUUAAAUUAAUUACUGGAUCUCUGCCCCAUUUCAGUCUCUUGUGCUAUGUUCAUCAUCCAGAGAGACCAGCUCUCCUAAAUCCAGGCUGCAAAUUACUCUUAUCUGAGUUCCCUCUAUAAGGCAUGAAACCCCCAGCUUUCCAAGUGGUGGAGACACUUAAGUUGGAAAACCAUCUGCAGUCACAGCACCUCUCCUAGUAAAUCCUCCAACAACAUGAGCCCCAUCAUGCCUUCCAUAUCCUCACAGUAAAAAUGAAUGCUUUGCUGGACAGCAUUUUUGCCUUUCUGCACCCACAGCACACCCUCCUGCAGUGCCUGUACAGAGAGAGAUUCCUCUGCUCCAGGGGAGGAUGUUCAGGCAAGAAAAUAUUCUUAUCAAAUCAAAUGGGUUUCAAAUUCCAUCCCCUAAAAGGUAGAAAAAAGUGAAUGUU
RNAcentral lists this long non-coding RNA (1081 nucleotides) under Parus major (Great Tit). RNAcentral's name for it is "lncRNA (ENSPMJG00000008660.1)". Lineage: Eukaryota; Metazoa; Chordata; Aves; Passeriformes; Paridae. The record is from RNAcentral.